CCUACGGGUGGCAGCAGUGGGGAAUAUUGGACAAUGGGCGAAAGCCUGAUCCAGCCAUGCCGCGUGUGUGAAGAAGGCCUUCGGGUUGUAAAGCACUUUCAGUGGGGAAGAAAGCCUUGGGGCUAAUACCCUCGAGGAAGGACAUCACCCACAGAAGAAGCACCGGCUAACUCCGUGCCAGCAGCCGCGGUAAUACGGAGGGUGCGAGCGUUAAUCGGAAUUACUGGGCGUAAAGCGCGCGUAGGCGGUCUGAUAAGCCGGUUGUGAAAGCCCCGGGCUCAACCUGGGAACGGCAUCCGGAACAGUCAGGCUAGAGUGCAGGAGAGGAAGGUAGAAUUCCCGGUGUAGCGGUGAAAUGCGUAGAGAUCGGGAGGAAUACCAGUGGCGAAGGCGGCCUUCUGGACUGACACUGACGCUGAGGUGCGAAAGCGUGGGUAGCAAACAGGAUUAGAUACCCUUGUAGUC
This 465-nucleotide ribosomal RNA is filed under the name Vreelandella stevensii. Its description in RNAcentral is "partial 16S ribosomal RNA". It matches the Rfam family "Bacterial small subunit ribosomal RNA", at positions 338 to 795 of the family's 1533-position model. Lineage: Bacteria; Pseudomonadati; Pseudomonadota; Gammaproteobacteria; Oceanospirillales; Halomonadaceae. The record is from RNAcentral.